UCGGGGUACUCGAGUGGCGAACGGGUGAGUAACACGUGGGUGAUCUGCCCUGCACUUUGGGAUAAGCCUGGGAAACUGGGUCUAAUACCGAAUAGGACCACGCGCUUCAUGGUGUGUGGUGGAAAGCUUUUGCGGUGUGGGAUGGGCCCGCGGCCUAUCAGCUUGUUGGUGGGGUAAUGGCCUACCAAGGCGACGACGGGUAGCCGGCCUGAGAGGGUGACCGGCCACACUGGGACUGAGAUACGGCCCAGACUCCUACGGGAGGCAGCAGUGGGGAAUAUUGCACAAUGGGCGCAAGCCUGAUGCAGCGACGCCGCGUGAGGGAUGACGGCCUUUCGGGUUGUAAACCUCUUUCAAUAGGGACGAAGCGUGAGUGACGGUACCUAUAGAAGAAGCACCGGCCAACUACGUGCCAGCAGCCGCGGUAAUACGUAGGGUGCGAGCGUUGUCCGGAAUUACUGGGCGUAAAGAGCUCGUAGGUGGUUUGUCGCGUUGUUCGUGAAAACUCACAGCUUAACUGUGGGCGUGCGGGCGAUACGGGCAGACUAGAGUACUGCAGGGGAGACUGGAAUUCCUGGUGUAGCGGUGGAAUGCGCAGAUAUCAGGAGGAACACCGGUGGCGAAGGCGGGUCUCUGGGCAGUAACUGACGCUGAGGAGCGAAAGCGUGGGGAGCGAACAGGAUUAGAUACCCUGGUAGUCCACGCCGUAAACGGUGGGUACUAGGUGUGGGUUCCUUCCUUGGGAUCCGUGCCGUAGCUAACGCAUUAAGUACCCCGCCUGGGGAGUACGGCCGCAAGGCUAAAACUCAAAGGAAUUGACGGGGGCCCGCACAAGCGGCGGAGCAUGUGGAUUAAUUCGAUGCAACGCGAAGAACCUUACCUGGGUUUGACAUGCACAGGACGCCGGCAGAGAUGUCGGUUCCCUUGUGGCCUGUGUGCAGGUGGUGCAUGGCUGUCGUCAGCUCGUGUCGUGAGAUGUUGGGUUAAGUCCCGCAACGAGCGCAACCCUUGUCCUAUGUUGCCAGCGGGUUAUGCCGGGGACUCGUAGGAGACUGCCGGGGUCAACUCGGAGGAAGGUGGGGAUGACGUCAAGUCAUCAUGCCCCUUAUGUCCAGGGCUUCACACAUGCUACAAUGGCCGGUACAAAGGGCUGCGAUGCCGUGAGGUGGAGCGAAUCCUUUCAAAGCCGGUCUCAGUUCGGAUCGGGGUCUGCAACUCGACCCCGUGAAGUCGGAGUCGCUAGUAAUCGCAGAUCAGCAACGCUGCGGUGAAUACGUUCCCGGGCCUUGUACACACCGCCCGUCACGUCAUGAAAGUCGGUAACACCCGAAGCC
RNAcentral lists this ribosomal RNA (1334 nucleotides) under Mycobacterium sp. DWMJ-1509A3. Its description in RNAcentral is "bacterial SSU rRNA". It matches the Rfam family "Bacterial small subunit ribosomal RNA", at positions 82 to 1428 of the family's 1533-position model. The record is from RNAcentral. Lineage: Bacteria; Bacillati; Actinomycetota; Actinomycetes; Mycobacteriales; Mycobacteriaceae.